Molecule: ribosomal RNA, 433 nt
Filed under: uncultured bacterium
Lineage: Bacteria
Description: partial 16S ribosomal RNA
Rfam family: Bacterial small subunit ribosomal RNA
Source: RNAcentral
AACGAACGCUGGCGGCAUGCCUAACACAUGCAAGUCGAACGAUCCCUUCGGGGAUAGUGGCGCACGGGUGCGUAACGCGUGGGAACCUGCCCUUAGGUUCGGAAUAACUCAGAGAAAUUUGAACUAAUACCGGAUAAUGUCUUCUGCCCAAAGAUUUAUCGCCUUUGGAUGGGCCCGCGUUGGAUUCGCUUGUUGGUGGGGUAAAGGCCUACCACGGCGAGGAUCCAUAGCUGGUCUGAGAGGAUGAUCAGCGACACUGCGACUAGGACACGGCCCGGACUCUUACGGGAGGCAGGAGUGGGGAAUAUUGGAAAAUGGGGGAAAGGCUGAUCCAGCAAUGCCGCUUGAGUGAUGGAGGCAUUAGGGUUGUAAAGCGCUUUUAACCGGGAUGGUAAUGACAGUACCGGGAGAAUAAGCCCCGGCUAACUCCGUG